GAGUGAUUGUUUUUCUGAAGCUAGCCAGAUCGUCAAAUUUGGGUCAUAACGGUGAAAAGCGGUGAGUAACUAAAUAUCAACCAGAUGAAAGAUGACCACAUAAAACAUUAGAUGUUUACCGUCAUUGAUUGGUUGGAUAAUUAGGGAGCGAUGCCUCAUAAUUAAGGAGGCUGAGAAGGGAAGGGAGUUAGUAGCGAGCUGCUCUGCAGAGUGAAGUUACAGGAACAGGGAACAAGCUCCAAAGGAUAUUUAGAGGUAUAUAAAUCAUGGAUUCAUUCAACAGCAGGAUAGCUCCAGGUAACACUGACGCCGUGAAUGGCCUCCUGUUUAUUUUUAUACGGAUUUUUUAUUUUUAUUUCAUUUCCUUUUAUUUUAUUUGUUUACUUUUUGCAGUAAAAAGUGUUUACAGUACGGAUCAGUAACUAGCAUGCAUCUAGUAUGCUAUAUGAAGUUUACUAAUGACUUCAUAUAAAUCAUUUACUCUUCAUUUGUCAGGGAAAACCUAACUGCACUUUGGUACAGUCAUGACAGGGUCAGCAGAAACACAACUGCUACUUUGUUAGAUGUUUAUGUAGGCCAGCCGAGGAAGAUGCCGUCCUUAUCCGGUUGUUAAGUGAUGACGUGACGAAUCCUACUUCCAGGCCUAAAGUAGUCUGCCUUUAUGGCUUUUGUGUUGUUAACAUGUUUAAUGUUUUGUAUUUUCUUCUAUUUGAUCUCAAAAAGCUCCUAAAACAGUCAGUGAUCACUGUUGACCUCCCUCAGCUUUUAUUACCGCUAAUCAUUUAUUUAAGCUCAGUUUUUAAAACCUUAGGAUGUAACUACAGCCCAGCCCAUGCAGCAUGAUAUGAAUGACUAACCUCGUAUUGUGGAUGGAUUAUCUCAGUUGUUCUCCUGGCUGAAGUUUGGUCCUUUUACAGCAUCCUGCCAUGCGAUUACAUUUGUUCCUGACCACCGAGAACACUCACGUUAACUUUUAUCGAGUGGGAAAAAAGUUAGCUUGUUUAUAUUAUGCUAAC
Long non-coding RNA from Astatotilapia calliptera (eastern happy), 1016 nucleotides. The record is from Ensembl. NCBI's taxonomy places the organism in Eukaryota, Metazoa, Chordata, Actinopteri, Cichliformes, Cichlidae.